AUUGCUCUUCAGGGGCAAAAUCAUAAUUUUACCAAACCCUGAUUUGAAAGCAUCAAGUGAUAGAAUAAAAGAUUUGUGAUCCAUGGAUGAAAAUUUUAUUAUUUUUGGACGUGUAUUUUGAAAGAUAUGCAUGUUUGAAAAUCAUGAGUCGACCCAUGAGUCGACUCAUGGCACAUGAGAUGUUUGGCACGCUGAAUUCUUGGCUGGCACAAACUUGGCACACCCUGUG
RNAcentral lists this long non-coding RNA (229 nucleotides) under Elaeis guineensis (African oil palm). RNAcentral's name for it is "long non-coding RNA (EGUI_LNC034740)". Lineage: Eukaryota; Viridiplantae; Streptophyta; Magnoliopsida; Arecales; Arecaceae. The record is from RNAcentral.